RNAcentral lists this long non-coding RNA (2211 nucleotides) under Salmo trutta (river trout). RNAcentral's name for it is "lncRNA (ENSSTUG00000038476.1)". The record is from RNAcentral. Lineage: Eukaryota; Metazoa; Chordata; Actinopteri; Salmoniformes; Salmonidae.
GGUUUAUUAGGCUACACAUGCUCUGACUAUUGUAGUCCUUUUUACCCCCGCCCCAUUAUAUUGCAGUGUACCAGCAGAGACCGAAAUCCCUGAAUCGUGGCACGGUGUCCAAGGUUGAUGCGAUUCGGUAAAGGAGGGUGGGAGAAAUCUGGGCGGGGAGUAGCCUAUCAAGCGCAUAAUCUGGCAAACACUCUGAACGGUGUGUGCAUUUUCAUGAUCGGAUUAUCGUUUAGACCUAAAUUUAAUUUCGUUACAAAUUUAAUUUCUCUCUUCCAUUUGGAUUAUUACGUUGUACAUUACGUUGUAUAAUGUAGGCUAUAGCCUUACGUGCGUGCGUCCACUUCCAAUUUUAUUGCUCAAAACAUAUGCCAUAUUAGAGCAAGGCCUUCUCCAUCUAAAUAAGGUGAUCAUCCAGGAGUUAUGAAUAUCUAUUUUGCAAUAUUUGCCUUCAUGGCACCUGUAGUUAUUGUUAUGAUAACGGUAGGGGUAUCAUGUGUAAUUCAUCGAAGGAGGCACAGUCGGAUUGAACGCUCACUUCAAUGAUGGACGCUCUGAAAUACCCCCCCGCAGAAAUACCCCCCUUCAGUGUCUAUCCUCUCCGGGAGCAUCGCUCCGAUUACCAUGGAAGAAACCUUCCUAUCAUGGCGGCUAGAUUCCAGGUGAAGGUAAGAAAUGCGCUGUUCUGGAAAACCAAGCCGGUAACUGACAGACAUCGCAUUGCACAGCAAUUUGCGCUGUAAUAGGCUAUUUGGACAAAUUGCUUGUGAGUACCAGUGGAUUGUGGAGUAUCCUGCCUGCACUCUAAAAAAAAAAUACAUGUUUUUAUGGUGAUUAACUGUCUGCCAGUAAAUUAGGGGAGACCAGGGUUGUUUGUAACAGGAUAGUUGUAACGCUCUCAAUAUCUCCAAUCAGGAUCAAGCUAGAAUUAUGUGACUGGCUGUGCACAUGCUCAGUUUAGUCCUCAACCCUCAUGUGAAGAAGCAAGGACCUGUGAUAGACAGCAGAUUUCAUUGACAAGAAUAUGAUUUUGAGGUAAGAAAUACUUUUUUUAACCAAAAUUGUUUUUGUGAUGGCAUUACCUGCUUUGUAGUUAGAUUCACCAAACUUGUAUCAGGUUUAUAACCAGUGUGUGUAGAUUUAUUUCAUGUAAGAUAACAAUGCAAGGGUCAGGGUUAGUUGUAACAAGCCUUCGGAGGUAUGGGUUCAGUGCUGGGAAUGCAAAUUAUGGGCCUGUCAGGCCAAAUAGUGUCCGCCCCCCGCGUCGCAAUAGGAUUUGUUGUGAUUGUCUAACAAGUUGGAAGACAAGGGUUGCUGAAAUACUAGUCUAAGUAAAUUUGCUCUGUUUUCUUUCUCUCUGUUUCUCCCUCCCUCUCUCUCUCUCUCUCUCUCUCUCUCUGUCUCACUCUCUUCCCACCUCUCUCUCCCUCUCUCUCUCUCUCUCUCUCUGUCUCACUCUCUUCCCACCUCUCUCUCUCCCUCUCUCACUUUCAUCCUUUCUCACUUUCUUCUUCUCUCUCUUUGUAUGUGUCUGUCUGUCUGUCUCUCUCUCUGUCUAGCGAAGAAACCUAGUUAAGGGCAGUUGAAGCUACUAUAAUUGCUCACACCUAUCCAUUUGAUUGAUCAAGGUUAACUUAUAGCUAGAUACCUCAAUAUGACAGACAUACAACUAAAUGUAUACAGUGAGGGGCAAAAAAGUAUUUGAUCCCCUGCUGAUUUUGUCCGUUUGCCCACUGACAAAGAAAUGAUCAGUCUAUAAUUUUAAUGGUAUGUUUAUCUGAACAGUGAGAGACAGAAUAACAAAAAACAAUCCAGAAAAACGCAUGUCAAAAAUGUUAUAAAUUGAUUUGCAUUUUAAUGAGGGAAAUAAGUAUUUGACCCCUCUGCAAAACAUGACUUAGUACUUGGUGGCAAAACCCUUGUUGGCAAUCACAGAGGUCAGACGUUUCUUGUAGUUGGCCACCAGGUUUGCACACAUCUCAGGAGGGAUUUUGUCCCACUCCUCUUUGCAGAUCUUCUCCAAGUCAUUAAGGUUUCGAGGCUGACGUUUGGCAACUCGAACCUUCAGCUCCCUCCACAGAUUUUCUAUGGGAUUAAGAUCUGGAGACUGGCUAGGCCACUCCAGGACCGGGACAGACGUUCCGCUAGCGGAACGCCUCACCAAUAUCCAAUGGUAGAGCGUGGCGCAAAAUACAAAUACCUCAAAAAUGCUAU